RNAcentral lists this ribosomal RNA (766 nucleotides) under uncultured bacterium. Its description in RNAcentral is "bacterial SSU rRNA". It matches the Rfam family "Bacterial small subunit ribosomal RNA", at positions 8 to 796 of the family's 1533-position model. The record is from RNAcentral.
AGAGUUUGAUCAUGGCUCAGGACGAACGCUUGCGGCGUGCCUAAGAAAUGCAAGUCGAACGGACAUCUUCGGAUGUUAGUGGCGAACGGUCGCGUAACACGUAGGCAACCUGCCCGAAAGUGGGGGACAACAGCCUGAAAGGGCUGCUAAUACCGCAUGUGGCUCACUUGUGGCAUCACUUGUGAUCUAAAGCUUUAUGCGCUUUCGGAUGGGCUUGCGGCCUAUCAGGUAGUUGGUGGGGUAAUGGCCUACCAAGCCGACGACGGGUAGCUGGUCUGAGAGGACGAUCAGCCGGAUUGGGACUGAGAUACGGCCCAGACUCCUACGGGGGGCAGCAAUUAGGAAUCUUGCGCAAUGGGGGCAACCCUGACGCAGCGACGCCGCGUGCGGGAUGAAGGCAUUCGUGUCGUAAACCGCUUUUUACGGGGAAGAAGAAUUUGACGGUACCCGUCGAAUAAGCCCCGGCUAACUACGUGCCAGCAGCCGCGGUAAUACGUAGGGGGCGAGCGUUGUCCGAAGUUACUGGGCGUAAAGCGCGCGUAGGCGGUCAUUUAAGUUCGGGGUGAAAGGUUCAGCGCUCAACGCGAACAGUGCCUUGAAUACUGGGUGACUUGAGUUCGGGAGAGGGCAGUGGAAUUCCUGGUGUAGCGGUGAAAUGCGUAGAUAUCAGGAGGAACACCGAUGGCGAAGGCAGCUGCCUGGCCUAGAACUGACGCUGAGGUGCGAAAGCGUGGGGAGCGAACAGGAUUAGAUACCCUAGUAGUCC